AUGACUAACACACAAGAAGCUGAAGUAACAGGAGAGGAGAGUAUCCGCGUGGAUCGCUGUGGCGGCAGCGAGUUGAACUUUAGGAGAGCGGUGUUUUCUGCGGAUUCUAAAUACAUCUUCUGUGUUUCUGGAGAUUUUGUUAAAGUAUACAGCACAGUUACGGAAGAAUGUGUGCAUAUACUGCAUGGACACAGCCAAUUGGUGACUGGAAUCCAGCUCAACCCCAACAACCAUCUACAGGUGUCAAACUUUGAGCUGAACUUGUUUGUUGUAUUCUUGUUCCUUGGAUGGUACAAUUAAGCUAUGGGACUACAUAGAUGGUAUUUUGAUAAAGACUUACACAGUUGGGCAUAAACUUCAUGCGCUUUUUACUGGUAGCCAUGCUGAAGAGUCUGUCUUCGUUACAAUAAGUAAAGAAAGCCCAGAUGUUUUUCAGCUGGUUUCAGUGAAGCUGCCCAAAUCAUCAGGUCAAGAAAUAGAAGCUAAGGAGGUAUCCUUUGUUUUGGAUUAUAUAAACCAGUCACCCAAGUGCAUUGCUUUUGGAAAUGAGGGACAGUAUGUGGCAGCAGUACGGGACUUCUACUUGUCUGUUUAUUUUUUCAAAAAGAAAACAACAUCAAGGUUUACUUUAUCAUCAUCAAAAAAUAAGAAGAAUUCUAAGAAUGAAUUCACGUGUGUAGCAUGCCACCCAAGAGAAGACUGCAUAGCCACUGGUCACAUGGAUGGCAAAAUUCGUCUCUGGAGGAAUUUUCAUGAUGAUAAGAAAUACACAUAUACUUGUUUACAUUGGCAUCAUGAUGUGGUUAUGGAUUUGGCUUUUUCAGUAACAGGCAACAGUUUGCUGAGCGGUGGGCGUGAGUCUGUACUGGUGGAAUGGCGAGAUAUAACAGAGAAGAAUAAAGAGUUUCUACCCAGUUUGGGAGCAACAAUUGAACAUAUUUCAGCCUCACCUGCAGGGGAUUUGUUCUGUACUUCUCAUUCUGACAAUAAGAUAAUAGUCAUUCACCGAAACCUUGAGGCCUCUGCAGUGAUCCAAGGCCUAGUGAAAGACAGGAAUAUCCUUACUGGUUUGAUGAUUGAUCCAAGAACUAGAGCUCUGGUUUUGAAUGGAAAACCUGGCAACCUGCAGUUUUAUUCUCUCCAGAGUGAUAAGCAGCUGUAUAAUUUAGAUAUUAUACAGCAAGAAUACAUCAAUGAGAACCAUUUGAUCCAAAUUGAGCUAACAAAGGCUGCAUUUAGCCUCAAUGGCAACUGGCUUGCAACAGUGGAAGAACGCCAAGAAAAGGCAACAGAGCUUGAAUUGCAUAUGAAACUGUGGUCAUAUAAUAAGAAGACACAAGGGUUUGUUCUCAACACAAAAGUCAGCAUGCCACAUGACGACCACAUCACAGCUCUCUGUUUCUGCAAUGCAGGAAAAUCGGAAAACCCUACCUUAGUCACAACUAGUAAAGAUGGCUACUUCAAAGUGUGGAUAUUAACAGAUGACUCUGAUAUAUAUAAAAAGGCUGUUGGCUGGACCUGUGACUUUGUUGGUAGUUACCACAAAUACCAAGCAACUAACUGUUGUUUCUCGGAAGACGGCUCUUUACUUGCAAUUAGUUUUGAGGAAAUAGUCACAAUAUGGGAUUCAGAGACAUGGGAGCUAAAGUGUACAUUUUGCCAACGAGCUGGGAAAAUAAGGCACCUUUGCUUUGGGCGACUGAUGUGCUCUAAGUAUCUUCUUGGUGCUACAGAAAACGACCUCCUUUGCUGUUGGAAUCUGCUCAGUUGUACACUGGAAUGGAGUACAAAACUGGAUGUUAGAGUCAUGGAGCCUGAUCCGAAUUCAGAGAACAUUGCCGCUGUCUCUUGGUCUUCAGUGGGUUCAGACUUGUUUGUAUUUAAACCUAGUGAGCCAAGGCCACUGUAUAUUCAGAAGACUAUCUCCAGAGAGGAAGUCCUCUGGGGCGUGUUCGUGCCACGAGAUGUCCCAGAAUCGUACAACUCAGGAGCUUACCGGUGGCUGAACAGAUCCCAGUUUUACUUCCUCACAAGAUCACAGACUUUAUUGACAUUCAGUGCAAAGUCUCCAGAAGAGAAACUCACACCAACAAGCAAGCAGCUGCUUGCAGAAGAUAGUCUUCCAGCAACCCCAUUUUAUUUCAUUUUGGGAAAACACAGGCAACCGCAGGAUGAAAAAUUAAAUGAUACUUUGGGAAAUGAGUUGAUACAACUACCAUUAACAGAAAACAUACCUGCAAUUAGUGAGCUUCUUCAUACUCCAGCCCAUGUACUACCAUCUGCUUCUUUUCUGUGCUCCAUGUUUGUAAAUUCAUUGCUGCUAUCUAAGGAGACUAAGAGAGCUGAAGAAAUUCCUGAUGAUGUAGAUAUGGAAGAAGAAAAAGAAAAUGACAGUUCAGAUGAAGAAAAUGAUUUUACUGAAAAUAUCCAGGAUACAAACAACAUAGAUUUGGGAGAAGAUAUAAAUCAGUUGUCAAAAUCUGAAGAAAAAGAACUGAGAAAAUUAAGGAAAAUCGACUAUAGUUGGAACAGAGCUUUAAGCAGUGCUGCUGAGUCUUGCACUUUUGGGUAUAUUUGGUUGUAUGUUGGUACUUCCAAAUAAUCUUUUGUA
RNA transcript from Elephantulus edwardii (Cape elephant shrew), 2611 nucleotides. It is a transcript of the gene named WD repeat-containing protein 75-like, with no coding region annotated. The transcript is spliced from 2 exons. The record is from RefSeq and is a predicted model, not a curated record. NCBI's taxonomy places the organism in Eukaryota, Metazoa, Chordata, Mammalia, Macroscelidea, Macroscelididae.